RNAcentral lists this long non-coding RNA (613 nucleotides) under Solanum lycopersicum (tomato). RNAcentral describes it as "long non-coding RNA (SLYC_LNC000478)". The record is from RNAcentral. Lineage: Eukaryota; Viridiplantae; Streptophyta; Magnoliopsida; Solanales; Solanaceae.
UGGAAAAGAGGCUACGAGGAGAUUUGGAGCCCAGAUAGGGAAACUUCAGGCCAUGCUACAAAGUACAAGUAAAACAUGUUCGUGUUUGAGAUUGAUGAUAAAUCAGUAGAUCAAUUCGGGUUGAAGCCAAUGAACUGCCCUGGACAUUGUAUUCAGUCACAGAGUUCGUUCCUUCAGAGAAUUACCUCUCGUCUAGCUGAUUUCGAAGCUCUUCACAGGAACGAAGCUAUUGUUAACACGUCUCAGACAAUUUCACCAGGACGAUGCUCACAUCUUCUGCAGAGAAUCACAGAUCAAGGACGAAGUAAAAGGCGGUCCUGGAUUUCAUCACUUAUGUGUAUACCAUAUUUGGUUUCACUUAUGUUGACUUCACAAAUUUGGAAGAAGGCUGAAGAUGCUCUUGCUGAAGCACUGAAUGAAUUCGGAAAGCCAUGGGAGAUCAGCAAGGGAGACAGCUUUUUAUGGUCCGAAAAUCGAUAUCAGUGUGAAAAGAAACUUACAAUGUGCAACAUUGAAGCUUGAUUUCCAGCUUCCUGAAAGAUUCAACCUUUUAUACGUAUCAAAUUCGAGAAACACCAGUUAUGAUACCUUGGAUCAGUUGAACGAAUGUUCC